AACGCGAAGAACCUUACCCGGGUUUGAACGCGGGAGGACGGUCUGGGAAACCAGGCUUCUAGCAAUAGUCUCCCGCGAGGUGCUGCAUGGUUGUCGUCAGCUCGUGCCGUGAGGUGUCGGCUUAAGUGCCAUAACGAGCGCAACCCUUGCCGCCAGUUGCUAGCAGGUGAAGCUGAGGACUCUGGCGGGACUGCCAGCGUAAGCUGCGAGGAAGGCGGGGAUGACGUCAAAUCAGCACGGCCCUUACAUCCGGGGCGACACACGUGUUACAAUGGCGUGGACAGCGGGAGGCCACCUGGCGACAGGGAGCGGAGCCCGAAACCACGUCUCAGUUCGGAUCGGAGUCUGCAACCCGACUCCGUGAAGCUGGAUUCGCUAGUAAUCGCGCAUCAGCCAUGGCGCGGUGAAUACGUUCCCGGGUCUUGUACACACGC
This 434-nucleotide ribosomal RNA is filed under the name uncultured Parabacteroides sp. RNAcentral's name for it is "bacterial SSU rRNA". It matches the Rfam family "Bacterial small subunit ribosomal RNA", at positions 958 to 1393 of the family's 1533-position model. The record is from RNAcentral. Lineage: Bacteria; Pseudomonadati; Bacteroidota; Bacteroidia; Bacteroidales; Tannerellaceae.